AAGUCGUAACAAGGUCUCGUUGGUGACCAGCGGAGGGAUCAUUACCGAGUUUACAACUCCCAAACCCCUGUGAACAUACCUAUACGUUGCCUCGGCGGAUCAGCCCGCGCCCCGUAAAACGGGACGGCCCGCCCGAGGACCCUAAACUCUGUUUUUAGUGGAACUUCUGAGUAAAACAAACAAAUAAAUCAAAACUUUCAACAACGGAUCUCUUGGUUCUG
Molecule: unclassified non-coding RNA, 221 nt
Filed under: uncultured fungus
Lineage: Eukaryota; Fungi
Description: partial contains 18S rRNA, ITS1 and 5.8S rRNA
Source: RNAcentral